ACAAUUUGUACAUAAUAUGAAUGGUUCCAACAGGAUUUAACUAGUGUAUAUGAACAGAACUAUAAAUGUGUGCUACCUUCAAAUUUCUCCGACGUCUUCUCCAUUUCAAUGCAAAAUAAUGUCUGAACCUCAGCCAGUGUGUAGAAUUCGUCCUAAAUUCCAUUAAAAGUAAACUGGUGAUACUCUGACUAAACCCCUGUCUUGCAUUCAUUUCCAACUGAUUAACUAAAACAUUAACUUCUUGAAAACGAAGUGCUACAGGCCUGUCUAAGAUCCAAACAAAUUCUAGGACUAAAUACUGAAUUCGAAACUCAAACAGUCACUUCAGGUUAACACAGCAACAAGGGUUAGCUGAAAACAGUGCAUUAAGGUUCAUCGAGAUGCAAUAAAUGAUCAAAGCUGAGAAAUGUGUCAUUUUAAAAUUGAAUAGAUUCCACUGUUGGUGGAAGACUUCUCAAAGACUUGGCGGAAGACUUUGACCUGGUGUGUAACUUCACAAAGACUUGGUGGAAGACUUUGACCUGGUAGCCUGGCAGAGUGGCAGUAUAUAUAGUAUAUAAUAUAUCAAUAUUGAUCCUAAGAAGAAACAGCAAGUUCAAUAAUCUGCACUAUGGACAUCUCCAGCUACCUGGCUAUAGGUGGCUGGUUCAUCCAGGUUAUCUUCGACAAGUAUCUUUCCUACAAGCUCCAGAGGUGGGCAGUCAACUGUGGCAUCGACCAUGAGCU
RNAcentral lists this long non-coding RNA (726 nucleotides) under Setaria viridis. RNAcentral's name for it is "long non-coding RNA (SVIR_LNC010242)". Lineage: Eukaryota; Viridiplantae; Streptophyta; Magnoliopsida; Poales; Poaceae. The record is from RNAcentral.